UCCUCGAAUUACGAGGCAGUCUGACUAGAGAGUGCAACUAGUCACGAGGGUUGCGCUCGUUGCGGGACUUAACCCAACACCUCACGACACGAGCUGACGACAGCCAUGCAGCACCUCUGUAGCGACCUCCGAAGAGGAAGCCCUAUUUCUAGGGCGGUCCGCUACAGUUCAAGCCCAGGUAAGGUUCUUCGCGUUGCAUCGAAUUAAGCCACAUGCUCCGCCGCUUGUGCGGGCCCCCGUCAAUUCCUUUGAGUUUUAGCCUUGCGGCCGUACUCCCCAGGCGGGGUGCUUAAUGCGUUAGCUUCGGCACGGAGCGGGUUGAAGACCUCCCCACACCUAGCACUCAACGUUUACGGCUGGGACUAC
Molecule: unclassified non-coding RNA, 366 nt
Filed under: uncultured bacterium
Lineage: Bacteria
Description: contains 16S-23S intergenic spacer region
Source: RNAcentral